UUUUCAACUUUGUCAUGAUUAGCUCAUAUCUUAGACCAAACUUUAGCAUGGUAAUUUAAGUGUCUGAACCUUCAAUUUAACCCAGCAAGAAACAUUAAACAAUAUUAGAAAUAAUAAUUUAAUUAGCGUCUUUAGGCUUGACCAACUAGGUGCCAGCAGUCGCGGUCACACCUGGAAGCCAAAUUUAUGAAAUAUAGGCUGGCUAAAAAUGAAACUUAAUAAUUAAGUAAAAUUUCUAUUAAACUAAAACCCAACUGAAUUAAAGACCCAAAUUCUGAUUAUAAACCGGGAUUAGAUACCCCGUUAUACAGAACCAAAAUCAUAAGCUUAAGCACUAAGACUUUAUAGUUAAAACUUAAAUGACAUGGCGGCAGCUUCAAAUUUCAGGGGAACUUACCAGGUAAAUGAUAACCCGCAAAACACCCUACUCUUUCUCUAAAAAGCUUGUAUAUCGCCGUCUUCAGAGUCCUUCUAAGAAGAAUUCAAAACGUUUUAAAUUUUAACAAAAAGACAGGUCAAGAUGCAACCAAUGUGAGAGUCAUAAGGUGAGUUACAAUGAUUUAUAAUCUUGGAAUUUUUUUGAAAUUCAAAAAGAAAAUCGGACUUGAAAGUAAAACUUAUAAUUCACUCUAAUUGAAUUUUCAAAAAGCUGUGCACAAAUCGCCCGUCGCUCUCGUUGAAAAAGGAGAUAAGUCGUAACAUAGUAAGUGUACUGGAAAGUGCACUUGUCUAAAU
RNAcentral lists this non-coding RNA (735 nucleotides) under Pleurobranchaea sp. TY-2016. The record is from RNAcentral. Lineage: Eukaryota; Metazoa; Mollusca; Gastropoda; Pleurobranchida; Pleurobranchidae.